RNAcentral lists this ribosomal RNA (482 nucleotides) under uncultured bacterium. RNAcentral's name for it is "partial 16S ribosomal RNA". It matches the Rfam family "Bacterial small subunit ribosomal RNA", at positions 30 to 507 of the family's 1533-position model. The record is from RNAcentral.
AUUGAACGCUGGCGGCAUGCCUUACACAUGCAAGUCGAACGGUAACAGGUCUUCGGAUGCUGACGAGUGGCGAACGGGUGAGUAAUACAUCGGAACGUGCCCGAUCGUGGGGGAUAACGAAGCGAAAGCUUUGCUAAUACCGCAUACGAUCUACGGAUGAAAGCAGGGGACCGCAAGGCCUUGCGCGAACGGAGCGGCCGAUGGCAGAUUAGGUAGUUGGUGGGAUAAAAGCUUACCAAGCCGACGAUCUGUAGCUGGUCUGAGAGGACGACCAGCCACACUGGGACUGAGACACGGUCCAGACUCCUACGGGAGGCAGCAGUGGGGAAUUUUGGACAAUGGGCGAAAGCCUGAUCCAGUCAUGCCGCGUGCAGGAUGAAGGCCUUCGGGUUGUAAACUGCUUUUGUACGGAACGAAAAGACUCUGGUUAAUACCUGGGGUCCAUGACGGUACCGUAAGAAUAAGCACCGGCUAACUACGUG